This 1346-nucleotide ribosomal RNA is filed under the name uncultured bacterium. Its description in RNAcentral is "partial 16S ribosomal RNA". It matches the Rfam family "Bacterial small subunit ribosomal RNA", at positions 28 to 1381 of the family's 1533-position model. The record is from RNAcentral.
GACGAACGCUGGCGGCGUGCUUAACACAUGCAAGUCGAACGGAAAGGCCCUGCUUUUGUGGGGUGCUCGAGUGGCGAACGGGUGAGUAACACGUGAGUAACCUGCCCUUGACUUUGGGAUAACUUCAGGAAACUGGGGCUAAUACCGGAUAGGAGCUCCUGCUGCAUGGUGGGGGUUGGAAAGUUUCGGCGGUUGGGGAUGGACUCGCGGCUUAUCAGCUUGUUGGUGGGGUAGUGGCUUACCAAGGCUUUGACGGGUAGCCGGCCUGAGAGGGUGACCGGCCACAUUGGGACUGAGAUACGGCCCAGACUCCUACGGGAGGCAGCAGUGGGGAAUAUUGCACAAUGGGCGGAAGCCUGAUGCAGCAACGCCGCGUGCGGGAUGACGGCCUUCGGGUUGUAAACCGCUUUCGCCUGUGACGAAGCGUGAGUGACGGUAAUGGGUAAAGAAGCACCGGCUAACUACGUGCCAGCAGCCGCGGUGAUACGUAGGGUGCGAGCGUUGUCCGGAUUUAUUGGGCGUAAAGGGCUCGUAGGUGGUUGAUCGCGUCGGAAGUGUAAUCUUGGGGCUUAACCCUGAGCGUGCUUUCGAUACGGGUUGACUUGAGGAAGGUAGGGGAGAAUGGAAUUCCUGGUGGAGCGGUGGAAUGCGCAGAUAUCAGGAGGAACACCAGUGGCGAAGGCGGUUCUCUGGGCCUUUCCUGACGCUGAGGAGCGGAAGCGUGGGGAGCGAACAGGCUUAGAUACCCUGGUAGUCCACGCUGUAAACGGUGGGUACUAGGUGUGGGGUCCAUUCCACGGGUUCCGUGCCGUAGCUAACGCUUUAAGUACCCCGCCUGGGGAGUACGGCCGCAAGGCUAAAACUCAAAGGAAUUGACGGGGCCCCGCACAAGCGGCGGAGCAUGCGGAUUAAUUCGAUGCAACGCGUAGAACCUUACCUGGGUUUGACAUGGAUCGGGAGUGCUCAGAGAUGGGUGUGCCUCUUUUGGGGUCGGUUCACAGGUGGUGCAUGCCUGUCGUCAGCUCGUGUCGUGAGAUGUUGGGUUAAGUCCCGCAACGAGCGCAACCCUUGUUCACUGUUGCCAGCACGUUAUGGUGGGGACUCAGUGGAGACCGCCGGGGUCAACUCGGAGGAAGGUGGGGAUGACGUCAAGUCAUCAUGCCCCUUAUGUCCAGGGCUUCACGCAUGCUACAAUGGCUGGUACAGAGAGUGGCGAGCCUGUGAGGGUGAGCAAAUCUCGGAAAGCCGGUCUCAGUUCGGAUUGGGGUCUGCAACUCGACCUCAUGAAGUCGGAGUCGCUAGUAAUCGCAGAUCAGCAACGCUGCGGUGAAUACGUUCCCGGGGCU